ACCCACACACACACCUCCCCCCCCCCACACACACACCUCCAAGGUUUGACUAAAGCAUCUCUGGGUUGUCAUCUUCAUUGAGAAAUAAAAGACUUGAUUUUUAAUCCAAUUAUGAACAAGCCCAGCUCUGGGGUGAUGCAGCUUCAGUUGUCUUAAGAAUUUCACUGGCUUUAUUCACCAGAGAUUGUCAAGUCAGUUUAUGUAUCUCCCCCCCCCCCCCCCCCCCCCC
Biomphalaria pfeifferi is the source of this 229-nucleotide non-coding RNA. The record is from the annotation of a GenBank genome assembly. Lineage: Eukaryota; Metazoa; Mollusca; Gastropoda; Planorbidae.